Pelodiscus sinensis (Chinese soft-shelled turtle) is the source of this 358-nucleotide non-coding RNA. Lineage: Eukaryota; Metazoa; Chordata; Testudines; Trionychidae. The record is from RefSeq and is a predicted model, not a curated record.
UGGUAAGACAUGCCCACAUGGACACAGAAGACACAAUCUCUAAUUUAAAAAAAGAGAAUACUGUCAAUAUGAAGCAGGAUCUAACACCCAGGCAUGUCAUCAUCAUCUUCGCAAUGUCUUAAGUGAAUUUAUGGAAAUAAUAUCGUGGUAACUAAUACUCGUGAGCCUGGAGGCCAAGUCCGGUCUACACUAAAGGGGAAGGUCGGCUUACUCCAGAUACGCAACUCCAGAAGAUGAAGAUACACAACAACUUGAGGAUACACAACUCCAGCUACGUUAAUUACAUAGCUGGAGUCAACUUAUUUAAAAUCGAGUUUUCACCCUGUCCACAAAGGGUGUUACACAUAUUGAAUAAAAA